GCUCAUCGUGGGUUGUGGAGUGUCCUCUCUGACGUUGCUGUUACUCAUCAUCAUCUAUGUGUCUGUGUGGAGGUACAUUAGAUCAGAGCGCUCUGUGAUCCUCAUUAACUUCUGCCUCUCCAUCAUCUCCUCUAAUGCCCUUAUUCUCAUUGGACAGACUCAGACAAGGAAUAAGAUCUUAUGCACCCUGAUUGCAGCUUUCCUUCAUUUCUUCUUCCUGUCUUCGUUCUGCUGGGUUCUGACCGAGGCGUGGCAGUCGUACAUGGCAGUGACGGGUCGCCUUAGGAA
Long non-coding RNA from Nematolebias whitei (Rio pearlfish), 288 nucleotides. RefSeq lists it as uncharacterized. The record is from RefSeq and is a predicted model, not a curated record. The transcript has 3 exons. NCBI's taxonomy places the organism in Eukaryota, Metazoa, Chordata, Actinopteri, Cyprinodontiformes, Rivulidae.